Transfer RNA from Microsporidia sp., 74 nucleotides. It matches the Rfam family "tRNA". From Rfam's summary of the family: Transfer RNA (tRNA) molecules are approximately 80 nucleotides in length. Their secondary structure includes four short double-helical elements and three loops (D, anti-codon, and T loops). The record is from Rfam. NCBI's taxonomy places the organism in Eukaryota, Fungi, Microsporidia.
GCUUCCGUGGCGCAACUGGUUAGCGCGCACGGCUGUUAACCGUGAGGUUGGUGGUUCGAGCCCACCCGGGAGCG